CCUACGGGAGGCAGCAGUGAGGAAUAUUGGUCAAUGGACGCAAGUCUGAACCAGCCAUGCCGCGUGCAGGAAGACUGCUCUAUGAGUUGUAAACUUCUUUUGUACGAGAAUAAACUCAGAUACGUGUACCUGUCUGCAAGUAUCUUACGAAUAAGGAUCGGCUAACUCCGUGCCAGCAGCCGCGGUAAUACGGAGGAUUCAAGCGUUAUCCGGAUUUAUUGGGUUUAAAGGGUGCGUAGGCGGUCUGAUAAGUUAGAUGUGAAAUCUCGCGGCUCAACGGCGGAAUUGCAGCUGAUACUGGUAGGCUAGAGUGUAGUUGCGGUAGGCGGAAUGUAUGGUGUAGCGGUGAAAUGCUGAGAGAUCAUAAAGAACACCGAUUGCGAAGGCAGCUUACCAAGCUACAUCUGACGCUGAGGCACGAAAGCGUGGGGAGCAAACAGGAGUAGAUACCCGAGUAGUC
This 460-nucleotide ribosomal RNA is filed under the name uncultured bacterium. RNAcentral's name for it is "partial 16S ribosomal RNA". It matches the Rfam family "Bacterial small subunit ribosomal RNA", at positions 338 to 795 of the family's 1533-position model. The record is from RNAcentral.